This 766-nucleotide ribosomal RNA is filed under the name Neoechinorhynchus roseus. RNAcentral's name for it is "LSU rRNA". It matches the Rfam family "Eukaryotic large subunit ribosomal RNA", at positions 368 to 965 of the family's 3401-position model. Lineage: Eukaryota; Metazoa; Acanthocephala; Eoacanthocephala; Neoechinorhynchida; Neoechinorhynchidae. The record is from RNAcentral.
AAAGGACUUUGAAAAGAGAGUUAAAUAGUGCGUGAAACUGCACAGUGAAAAGCGAAUGAGCACGCAUUUGUUCGGCUUACAAUUCAGAUGUGUGGUGUCGAGGUUCAUUAACUUUGACAUCGCGUAUCGUUAUUUGUUGGCAGACGACCUGCCUGGCUUGGAUUCGGGGCGGCCACGGCUAAGUACGCAAACACCUUGUGUGUAUUGCAUGUAGUCAAUUGAGUGCAAAUUUGCACUUGUGUGGUUGGUUGGAAAUCCGAUCGUCCACCGGCUCCGAGCUGGGGAAACCCAACUGCAAGGCUUCUUGAUGGUCAUGGGUAUUUGGCGCACACGCGUGGUGACUAAUUGCGCGCGUAUGCCUUUGCGUACUGAUUGCAUCGGUCUUGCGGCGAUGGCAGGAUAUGUUGCGGCAUCAUUUGAACCGUCUUGAAACACGGGCUAAGGAGUUCAACAGAUGCGCGAGUUUACUGGUCUCAAGAAACCAGGGUGCGGAGUUAACGCGAUUUUGUGUAUAAUCGUGAUAAUCGUCAGGUUGCAAAGCUUGUCGAGUCAUCACCUUUGAUGGAUGGUGCAUUCGUGCUGGUUGCCGUUCGCAGUCGAGCGCAUAUGCUGAGACCCGAAAGAUGGUGAACUAUGCCUGAGUAGGAUGAAGCCGGAGGAAACUCUGGUGGAGGUCCGAAGCGUUUUUGACGUGCAAAUCAAUCGUCAGACUUGGGUAUAGGGGCGAAAGACUAAUCGAACCAUCUAGUAGCUGGUUCCCUUCGAA